RNAcentral lists this ribosomal RNA (500 nucleotides) under uncultured bacterium. RNAcentral's name for it is "partial 16S ribosomal RNA". It matches the Rfam family "Bacterial small subunit ribosomal RNA", at positions 30 to 523 of the family's 1533-position model. The record is from RNAcentral.
AUUGAACGCUGGCGGCAGGCCUAACACAUGCAAGUCGAGCGGAUGACGGGAGCUUGCUCCUUGAUUCAGCGGCGGACGGGUGAGUAAUGCCUAGGAAUCUGCCUGGUAGUGGGGGACAACGUUUCGAAAGGAACGCUAAUACCGCAUACGUCCUACGGGAGAAAGUAGGGGACCUUCGGGCCUUGCGCUAUCAGAUGAGCCUAGGUCGGAUUAGCUAGUAGGUGAGGUAAUGGCUCACCUAGGCGACGAUCCGUAACUGGUCUGAGAGGAUGAUAAGUCACACUGGAACUGAGACACGGUCCAGACUCCUACGGGAGGCAGCAGUGGGGAAUAUUGGACAAUGGGCGAAAGCCUGAUCCAGCCAUGCCGCGUGUGUGAAGAAGGUCUUCGGAUUGUAAAGCACUUUAAGUUGGGAGGAAGGGCAGUAAGUUAAUACCUUGCUGUUUUGACGUUACCGACAGAAUAAGCACCGGCUAACUCUGUGCCAGCAGCCGCCGCGG